CAUGGCUCAGGACGAACGCCGGUGGCGUGCCUAAUACAUGCAAGUUGAGCGCUGAAGGUUGGUACUUGUACCGACUGGAUGAGCAGCGAACGGGUGAGUAAUGCGUGGGGAAUCUGCCUUUGAGCGGGGGACAACAUUCGGAAACGAAUGCUAAUACCGCAUAAAAACUUUAAACACAAGUUUUAAGUUUGAAAGAUGCAAUUGCAUCACUCAAAGAUGAUCCCGCGUUGUAUUAGCUAGUUGGUGAGGUAAAGGCUCACCAAGGCGGUGAUACAUAGCCGACCUGAGAGGGUGAUCGGCCACAUUGGGACUGAGACACGGCCCAAACUCCUACGGGAGGCAGCAGUAGGGAAUCUUCGGCAAUGGACGAAAGUCUGACCGAGCAACGCCGCGUGAGUGAAGAAGGUUUUCGGAUCGUAAAACUCUGUUGGUAGAGAAGAACGUUGAUGAGAGUGGAAAGCUCAUCAA
This 468-nucleotide ribosomal RNA is filed under the name uncultured bacterium. RNAcentral describes it as "bacterial SSU rRNA". It matches the Rfam family "Bacterial small subunit ribosomal RNA", at positions 18 to 471 of the family's 1533-position model. The record is from RNAcentral.